AAAUGUUGACCAAAUGUGUACAUGACGUCAGCAGGCAUCCAUCCGCAACUGGGUUGGCAUUCAGCGGGGGGAUCUCGUCCGAGCUUGUUGCCUGCCGUCGCGGCAGCUAUCCACAAAGAGCGCGCCACCACCAGUCGCUGACAGUUGCUCCUGGCAGUAGAUGCCACCAGUAGAACUUCUCGUAGUGUGUGCGCGCGCUAAUGAUCAUCACUCGUUGGUAUUGAACACGCAAUAAACAGGUAAGGGCUCGUACUGCUAUAAAAUACGAGUGUACAAACUACAUAUGCCGUACGUACUUCGGAAGCCAUUAAAAAGCCAAGGACGAGAACGACAGAAGAUAUUGUUCCAGCCCUGCGAGCAGCUAUUCCAACGUAUUACAGGAUGGCUCCCCUUAGCUUGAUGCUCCUACGCUGGCUAAGUCGUGGAUUACAUGUGAGAGGAGGCAUGUCUCAUGACCCUUGGCCACGGCAGAACUAUGGAUAACCCAGAGCCAGGCGGCCAACACACGCGCCUUGAGUUUUGCUUUUGAAUGCUUCCAACCACCAUCCCAACCUCGUCUUCAUGUCGCGUCGUUUGUGAACCGCACUUGAUUACCCUCUUGGUGAACUAGGGACUUCACGGAUGAAAGCUCAAUCACGGCAACCUCAGAGUAUAGCUGUACAAACAUAGUGACUGUCAGCCAUCAAAGCUAUGAUCUAUGCUCGCAACCACGCAAAAAUUGCGUUCUGUUUGCCUUAAUUUACAGUCAAAACUAACCACUAACUGCCAACUGCCAUAAGACGGCCGACUACGGUAUUGCUACCUGUUUCCCUCUGUGAGGCGAAG
RNAcentral lists this long non-coding RNA (825 nucleotides) under Volvox carteri. RNAcentral describes it as "long non-coding RNA (VCAR_LNC000620)". The record is from RNAcentral. Lineage: Eukaryota; Viridiplantae; Chlorophyta; Chlorophyceae; Chlamydomonadales; Volvocaceae.